Molecule: signal recognition particle RNA, 290 nt
Filed under: Aotus nancymaae (Ma's night monkey)
Lineage: Eukaryota; Metazoa; Chordata; Mammalia; Primates; Aotidae
Description: Metazoan signal recognition particle RNA (ENSANAG00000007903.1)
Rfam family: Metazoan signal recognition particle RNA
About the family: The signal recognition particle (SRP) is a universally conserved ribonucleoprotein. It is involved in the co-translational targeting of proteins to membranes. The eukaryotic SRP consists of a 300-nucleotide 7S RNA and six proteins: SRPs 72, 68, 54, 19, 14, and 9.
Source: RNAcentral
GCCUGCGCGAUGGCGCGUGCCUGUAGUCCCAGCUACUCGAGAGGCUGAGGUGGGAGGAUCGCUUGAGCCGGGAGUUCUGGGCUGUAGUGCGCUAUGGCGAUUGGGUGUCUGCACUAAGUUUGGCAUUAAUAUGGUGACCUCCUGGGAGCGGGGGACCACCAGGUUGCCUAAAAAGGGGUGAACCAGCCCAGGUCAGAAAUGGAGCAGGUCAAAACUCCCGUGCUGAUCAGUAGUAGGAUCGUGCCUGUGAAUAGCCACUCCAGUCUGAGCAACAUAGAGACUUCGUCUCU